GAUGAACGCUAGCGGCAGGCUUAACACAUGCAAGUCGAGGGGCAGCGCGGGAUAGCAAUAUCCUGGCGGCGACCGGCGGAAGGGUGCGUAACGCGUGAGCGACAUGCCCGUUGCCCGGGGACAACCGGUGGAAACGCCGACUAAUCCCCGAUGGGAUACGAUGCUUCAUGGCAUUGUAUUGAAAGUUACGGCGGCGACGGAUUGGCUCGCGUCCGAUUAGCUGGUUGGCGGGGUAACGGCCCACCAAGGCUGCGAUCGGUAGGGGUUCUGAGAGGAAGGCCCCCCACAAUGGGACUGAGCCACGGCCCAUCCUCCUACGGGAGGCAGCAGUGAGGAAUAUUGGUCAAUGGGCGGAAGCCUGAACCAGCCAUGCCGCGUGCGGGAAGGAGGCCCUAUGGGCUGUGAACCGCUUUUGCCUGGGGGCAAUAAGGGCGUCGCGCACGUCCGAUGAGAGUACCAGGCGAAUAAGCAUCGGCUAACUCCGUG
Molecule: ribosomal RNA, 486 nt
Filed under: uncultured bacterium
Lineage: Bacteria
Description: partial 16S ribosomal RNA
Rfam family: Bacterial small subunit ribosomal RNA
Source: RNAcentral